RNAcentral lists this unclassified non-coding RNA (305 nucleotides) under plant metagenome. RNAcentral describes it as "partial contains 5.8S ribosomal RNA, internal transcribed spacer 2, and large subunit ribosomal RNA". The stretch from base 1 to 105 matches the Rfam family "5.8S ribosomal RNA", at positions 50 to 154 of the family's 154-position model. The record is from RNAcentral.
GAAAUGCGAUAAGUAGUGUGAAUUGCAGAAUUCAGUGAAUCAUCGAAUCUUUGAACGCACAUUGCGCCCUUUGGUAUUCCAAAGGGCAUGCCUGUUCGAGCGUCAUUUGUACCCUCAAGCUUUGCUUGGUGUUGGGCGUCUUGUCUCCAGUUCGCUGGAGACUCGCCUUAAAGUAAUUGACAGCCGGCCUACUGGUUUCGGAGCGCAGCACAAGUCGCGCUCUCUUCCAGCCAAGGUCAGCAUCCACAAAGCCUUUUUUCAACUUUUGACCUCGGAUCAGGUAGGGAUACCCGCUGAACUUAAGC